AUACACUACAACGCAACAGUAACAGAACAUCCUGGUAUGGGCAAGAAAACCGACACAUCCUGGAGAACAGACCAGCGAUAAAGCCACAUAUUUGCAGCUAAGUUAUCUUUGAUGGAGGUGCCAAGGCCACAUUUAUUAUUUCCUUUCAAUAAAUGAUCUUGGGAAAACUGGAUAUCCACCUGCAGAUGAAUGAAUAAAUGUAAGAUCCCAAAUUCUGAAACUCCUGAAGCAAACAGAGGGGAAAUACUUCCUGGCCUUGUUUUGGACAAUGAUUUUUGGCUAUGACCUCAAAGGAAAAGGCAACCAGAUCCCAGACAGACAAAUGCGAGUAUACCAAUUGACUUGGUCUGCCAAUAGUAAGCUAUCAACAGUGCAAAGAGACAAUAUUCAGAAUUCAAAACAUUAUUUGUAAACUAUAUAUUUAAUAAGGGGUUAAUGUCUAGAACUGAGAAGAAACUCAAGCAUCUCAAUAUCAAGAAAACAAAUAACUCUAUUAGCAAUUGGUAAAAGAUCUGAAUAGAUGCUUCUCUAAAGAAGAAACACGAAUGACCAAAAGUUACAUAUUAAAAAAGCUCAAUAUCAUUAAUUGUCAGGGGAAUGCAAAUCAAAACCACAAUAAGAUACCACUUGAACUAUGCUUAUUUCAAUUAAUUUUGAAUAUUCUAUCUUCUUUGCCAUCUGACGUAAUUUUUAAUUGUGUCAUACUUCAAUGCCUGCACACUCAUGUGAUGAUAAGAUCAAGGUUGUCAAUAUGUCACUCUCUUAAACAUUUAGACUUUUCUGCUCUGUUCAUAGUUGCUUAUGUGCUUUGUGAUGGUGUGUAGCUCAAUGCUUGUAUGCAGUAUGCAGUAAUAAAAUCAGGACAAGUGACAUUUCUAUCUCCUUAAAAAUGCUACAAUCAGCAUGUCAGUGUCUACAGAGGAUCUUCUGGAAUCCUGACUGGAUUACCCCAUCACUUGGGGAGAAGACAUCAUCUUCCCGUCUUUCAGCAUGGUGUCUUCUCACUUAUGUAGACAUUCCUUGAUUGAUUUCACCAAUGAUCUGUGGUUCUCAGUAUGCAAUCCUGCACUUGUGUUGUUAGAUCUAUCCCUCACUAGUAAAUUUUUAACUAAUAUUGUGAAUGAUACUUAAAGAAAUUGCUAAAUUCCAAUUAUUCACUGCUAGUAUACAGAAGUCCAAUUUCUUUUUGUGUUUUUAUUUUUGUAUUCUGACCUUGAUAAAUUUAGUUAUUAAUUUCAAGGUCUUUUCUGUAGAUUUCUUGAUAUUUUCCACCUAGAUGAUUAUUUGACCUGGGAAUAAAAUGUUUUAUUCCUUCCUUUUCAAUCUAUAAUCUUUCUUCUUUUUUUUUCCUGCCUAUGCACUAAGACUUCCAUUAAAAUGUUGAGAAGAGCAAGGAGGGUACUCUUCCUGUGUUCCUUAGUUUGUGGGAGAAGCACU
RNAcentral lists this long non-coding RNA (1437 nucleotides) under Marmota monax (woodchuck). The record is from RNAcentral. Lineage: Eukaryota; Metazoa; Chordata; Mammalia; Rodentia; Sciuridae.